CAGGUCUUGACAUCCCACUGACCGGCUUAGAGAUAGGCUUUUCCCUUCGGGGACAGUGGUGACAGGUGGUGCAUGGUUGUCGUCAGCUCGUGUCGUGAGAUGUUGGGUUAAGUCCCGCAACGAGCGCAACCCUUGAUCUUAGUUGCCAGCAUUCAGUUGGGCACUCUAAGGUGACUGCCGGUGAUAAACCGGAGGAAGGUGGGGAUGACGUCAAAUCAUCAUGCCCCUUAUGGCCUGGGCUACACACGUGCUACAAUGGACGAUACAAAGGGCUGCAAACCCGCGAGGGGGAGCCAAUCCCAUAAAAUCGUUCUCAGUUCGGAUUGUAGGCUGCAACUCGCCUACAUGAAGCCGGAAUCGCUAGUAAUCGUGGAUCAGCAUGCCACGGUGAAUACGUUCCC
RNAcentral lists this ribosomal RNA (401 nucleotides) under uncultured bacterium. RNAcentral's name for it is "bacterial SSU rRNA". It matches the Rfam family "Bacterial small subunit ribosomal RNA", at positions 975 to 1375 of the family's 1533-position model. The record is from RNAcentral.